UACGUAGGGUGCGAGCGUUGUCCGGAAUUAUUGGGCGUAAAGGGCUCGUAGGCGGUUUGUCGCGUCGGGAGUGAAAACUCAGGGCUUAACCCUGAGCCUGCUUCCGAUACGGGCAGACUAGAGGUAUGCAGGGGAGAAUGGAAUUCCUGGUGUAGCGGUGAAAUGCGCAGAUAUCGGGAGGAACACCGGUGGCGAAGGCGGUUCUCUGGGCCUUACCUGACGCUGAGGAGCGAAAGCGUGGGGAGCAAACAGG
Molecule: ribosomal RNA, 253 nt
Filed under: uncultured bacterium
Lineage: Bacteria
Description: partial 16S ribosomal RNA
Rfam family: Bacterial small subunit ribosomal RNA
Source: RNAcentral